This 69-nucleotide transfer RNA is filed under the name Mnais tenuis. RNAcentral's name for it is "tRNA-Ser". Lineage: Eukaryota; Metazoa; Arthropoda; Insecta; Odonata; Calopterygidae. The record is from RNAcentral.
GGGGAAAGUAGGGAACGAUAGUAAGCCGCUAACUUGUCUAUCUAGCGGUUAAAAUCCGUUAUUACCCCU